This 82-nucleotide transfer RNA is filed under the name Deltaproteobacteria bacterium. Its description in RNAcentral is "tRNA-Leu". Lineage: Bacteria; Pseudomonadati; Myxococcota; Myxococcia. The record is from RNAcentral.
GCCCUGGUGCUGGAAUUGGCAGACAGGCAUGAUUCAGGUUCAUGUGUCGCGAGACGUGGGAGUUCAAGUCUCCCCCAGGGCA